Molecule: long non-coding RNA, 724 nt
Organism: Oreochromis niloticus (Nile tilapia)
Lineage: Eukaryota; Metazoa; Chordata; Actinopteri; Cichliformes; Cichlidae
Exons: 3
Source: RefSeq, a predicted model, not a curated record
AAUUUAAAUGAUUAUAUAAGGCGGUGCUGCUGAAAUGUAUAAAAAUCAAAGUGGCAAGAACCAAGUGUUCUUUGUUCCAGUUUGACUGACUUGAACGUAACAGCGUGUCUCAGCUACACUCUGCUCAUCUCGAGUCUUCGCUCCUCAUUUGCUUCAGAGCAUCUCACCUGCUGCUCCAGACGACCAACUUGUGCCUGAACUGCUGCAGGUUAACCAACCAACCAACCAACCAACCAACCAACCAACCACUCAUCAAGGAUCAUGCAGGUUCAAUUUGUCUGUUUGCUGCUGGGCCUGAUUUCUGCUGUGGAGCUGUCUGCAAGCCUGGACUUCUAUCAGAAACAUGUCAUUGGAUUCAUGCACCCAGAUGAAUGUACUACAGUGAUGCAGAUGAGACACAUCAGAGGUCAUUUUGGUACAUGCAAAAAAGUAAACACAUUUCUUCUGGGCGCACAUCAAAGGGUCCAAAACAUCUGUGCAGGUAUCAGUGGACAACGAAGUUUUAGCUUUAAUGUUGUUGUAUGCAAGCAUCAGUUCAGUUUACGCCCUGGUUGCAGAUAUGUGGGUCAACGCCAUGACAACAGGAUUGUUGUUAUAAAGUGUAAACACGGGGUGCCAGUCCACUUAGGUUAAACCAUUCCAAAUCAUUCUGUAUAGUUCAGUUGUGGUUAGUCUAAAGUUGACAGCCAUCCUGGCUACAAUCUCAUGUUAUUGCUUGUCAUGA